Molecule: non-coding RNA, 291 nt
Organism: Paramuricea clavata
Lineage: Eukaryota; Metazoa; Cnidaria; Anthozoa; Malacalcyonacea; Plexauridae
Source: the annotation of a GenBank genome assembly
GAAGAUGGCUGUGAAACUCAUUAGAAUAACCAUAUAACUCAUUAUUUAUGUUUGUCAACGUUUAUUAAUAAAUCUGGUCCUUAUAAUUCACCGUCACGUGUGUAUCGUAUUUUCCCAAUCCACCAAUAGCAAUUUCCCUAUUGUUCGAGUCACAGAUAGGGAACUUUCAUGAAAAAUUGCUAUUGUUUAGUUGGGCAAAAAUACAAAACACACGUGACGGUGAAGGACCAGAUUUAUAAAUAAACGUUGACCAGUUAUAUUGUUAUUCUAAUGAGUUUCACAGCCAUCUUC